GGGGUCGUAGCUCAGUUGGUAGAGCGUCUCGUUCGCAAUGAGAAGGUCGCAGGUUCGAAUCCUGUCGGCUCCACCA
RNAcentral lists this transfer RNA (76 nucleotides) under Pedosphaera sp. Its description in RNAcentral is "tRNA-Ala". It matches the Rfam family "tRNA". From Rfam's summary of the family: Transfer RNA (tRNA) molecules are approximately 80 nucleotides in length. Their secondary structure includes four short double-helical elements and three loops (D, anti-codon, and T loops). The record is from RNAcentral. Lineage: Bacteria; Pseudomonadati; Verrucomicrobiota; Pedosphaerae; Pedosphaerales; Pedosphaeraceae. RNAcentral also lists the same sequence under 9 other names.